Molecule: long non-coding RNA, 577 nt
Organism: Ornithorhynchus anatinus (platypus)
Lineage: Eukaryota; Metazoa; Chordata; Mammalia; Monotremata; Ornithorhynchidae
Exons: 3
Source: RefSeq, a predicted model, not a curated record
GCUUUAUCUCAGUACUAUUGGAAGCUUGUUUUCCUGAGUCCCUAAACUAAACCGCCUGUGCUGACAGAUGAAAGAGAGGCAUGGGUUGCCAGAGCGUAUUAAUAGAAAACACAAACCAGGGCUCCAAAUUUGGGGAUCCAAGGAUGGACAAGUGAGGGAAGAGGAAGAGUAGACACUGAUGGUGUAAAUCCCAAGGAGAAACUCCUUCAGAAGGCCUUUCUUCCCUCUGCAAUAGAUCGUCUGCCCCUACUGAUCCACCACUUCUAGAAAUACUGUCUGAGGGUGGAAGGAUCUCAGGAGAACUGAAGAAAUGACACACUAAGGGAAGGUUUUGGAAACAAAGGUUUGUACAAAAAUAUCCAUGGACUUGGUACAAUCUAUGUAGCAAGUAUGGAUAAUUGGAUGGAACUAUUUACUUUACUAGAAGACAUGAAUCUCAACAUAUGAAACAGCAAUUUCAGCAUUAAUUGGGUAGGUCUAGAGCUAAAGAGGAUCCUGAUUACAUCUCAUAUUUGGAAGAUUUUAAAGAAAUGAUCCUAAAUAGUACCAGGAAAAUAAAAUCUGAUUUUUAAAAAUU